RNAcentral lists this long non-coding RNA (933 nucleotides) under Felis catus (domestic cat). RNAcentral's name for it is "lncRNA (ENSFCAG00000046496.2)". The record is from RNAcentral. Lineage: Eukaryota; Metazoa; Chordata; Mammalia; Carnivora; Felidae.
UGUGGCCCUGGGAGCAUGGCUGCUUGGACAGGGAGAGGAAUAAAGACAGAAGCUGACCUGAGAGUAGAGCCGGUCAGGAGUGAGUGCCAGCGUGUGCCAUGGGGCACCUGGGGGCUCUUCACCCCCCGUGACCUCCCGUACCUGUCUCUCUCCUCCACCCCAGUCUUGCCAGGGGACAGGAUGCGGCACUGAGCCUCAAGUCGGGAGACGUGGGUUCUAGUCCAUGUCCCAAUAGUCGCUGACUGUGGGACCUCGGACAAGCCCCGGGGCCUCUCUUGACUUUCGUUUCCCCACAUGUAACAUGUAAGAGAGAGGAGUUAGCCGACGUGAUGGCAGGUCCCUUUCCUCUCUGACAGUCUGCCAUUACAGUAUUCCCUCUUUUCUCCCACCCAGCCACAAACAGCGGCACCGGUAGCCCGGAGUGGCUUCGGGGACUCCCCACCACUGUCGCCGCCGGAGUCUCUCCAGGCAGCUGCACAGCGACAGCUGCUUCGUCCUGCACUGCUGACCGCUCCGAUUUACCUAUGCAGAUGAGGCUAUGAAUAAACAAGGUCUGCACAGAGGGAAAAGGCCCUCGUUUUCCACGUUCUUUUCGGCCUUUCCCUUUCCCUGGGCCAAGAGUGGCUGAGGUGGGACUCCUUUUCCAACCCCUCCCCCACUUAGGGACUCAGUCCUGCGUUCCACCUACACAGGGGGGGUUGAGCGGAAGGAAAAACACACCGGCAGAGCCCUGGCGAUGGAAAAGUACAGGAACAAGCAGAGUGAGUAGUUCACUCAUCUGCAGCGCUACAUGCUCGGGCAGAGCACUGAGGAAUAUGGCUCAACAGGACCGAUCGGCACCUCGCGCACUGGGAAGCCACGGAAGGCAAGGAUAUAAGAAUGUGGGCCCUAUAAUGAGCAUAUAUCACUUGGAGUAGAGCCCUUGUACCAUUU